GACCGCGUAGCUCAGUUGGCAAAGCAUUUGGCUAGUAUUUCCAAAGGUCGUAGGUUCGAUUCCCACCGUGGCCA
RNAcentral lists this transfer RNA (74 nucleotides) under Paramuricea clavata. It matches the Rfam family "tRNA". Rfam says of the family: Transfer RNA (tRNA) molecules are approximately 80 nucleotides in length. Lineage: Eukaryota; Metazoa; Cnidaria; Anthozoa; Malacalcyonacea; Plexauridae. The record is from Rfam by way of RNAcentral.